RNAcentral lists this ribosomal RNA (496 nucleotides) under uncultured bacterium. Its description in RNAcentral is "partial 16S ribosomal RNA". It matches the Rfam family "Bacterial small subunit ribosomal RNA", at positions 28 to 508 of the family's 1533-position model. The record is from RNAcentral.
GACGAACGCUGGCGGCGUGCCUAAUACAUGCAAGUAGAACGCUGAAGGAGGAGCUUGCUCUUCUGGAUGAGUUGCGAACGGGUGAGUAACGCGUAGGUAACCUGCCUGGUAGCGGGGGAUAACUAUUGGAAACGAUAGCUAAUACCGCAUAACAGUAGAUGUUGCAUUACAUUUACUUAAAAGGUGCAAUUGCAUCACUACCAGAUGGAACUGCGUUGUAUUAGCUAGUUGGUGGGGUAACGGCUCACCAAGGCGACGAUCCAUAGCCGACCUAUGAGGGGGAUCGUCUACACUGUGGCGGGGACACGGGCCAGAGUCAAACGCGAGACACCAGUAGGGAGUAUUAGGCAAUGGACGUAAGUCUGACAGAGGAACGACGCGAGAGUGAAGAAGGUUUUCGGAUCGUAAAGCUCUGUUGUAAGAGAAGAACGAGUGUGAGAGUGGAAAGUUCACACUGUGACGGUAUCUUACCAGAAAGGGACGGCUAACUACGUGC